GGGGAAUAUUGCACAAUGGAGGAAACUCUGAUGCAGCGAUGCCGCGUGAGGGAAGAAGGUUUUCGGAUUGUAAACCUCUGUGUACAGGGACGAUAAUGACGGUACCUGUUCAGAAAGCUCCGGCUAACUACGUGCCAGCAGCCGCGGUAAUACGUAGGGAGCGAGCGUUGUCCGGAAUUACUGGGUGUAAAGGGAGCGUAGACGGCUUUGCAAGUCUGAUGUGAAAGGCCGGGGCUCAACCCCGGGACUGCAUUGGAAACUGUCAAUCUAGAGUACCGGAGGGGUAAGUGGAAUUCCUAGUGUAGCGGUGAAAUGCGUAGAUAUUAGGAGGAACACCAGUGGCGAAGGCGGCUUACUGGACGGUAACUGACGUUGAGGCUCGAAAGCGUGGGGAGCAAACAGGAUUAGAUACCCUGGUAGUCCACGCUGUAAACGAUGAUUACUAGGUGUGGGGGGUCUGACCCCUUCCGUGCCGGAGUUAACACAAUAAGUAAUCCACCUGGGGAGUACGACCGCAAGGUUGAAACUCAAAGGAAUUGACGGGGGCCCGCACAAGCAGUGGAGUAUGUGGUUUAAUUCGAAGCAACGCGAAGAACCUUACCAGGGCUUGACAUAUACAGGAAUAUAUAAGAGAUUGUAUAGCUCUUCGGAGUCUGUAUACAGGUGGUGCAUGGUUGUCGUCAGCUCGUGUCGUGAGAUGUUAGGUUAAGUCCUGCAACGAGCGCAACCCCUAUUCUUAGUUGCCAGCAUGUAAAGAUGGGAACUCUAGGAAGACUGCCGGUGAUAAAUCGGAGGAAGGUGGGGACGACGUCAAAUCAUCAUGCCCUUUAUGUCCUGGGCUACACACGUACUACAAUGGCUAUAACAAAGGGAAGCGAAGCAGCGAUGUGGAGCAAAACCCAAAAAAGUAGUCUCAGUUCGGAUUGAAGGCUGAAAUUCGCCUUUAUGAAGCCGGAAUUGCUAGUAAUGGCAGGUCAGCAUACUGCCGUGAAUACGUUCCCG
RNAcentral lists this ribosomal RNA (1002 nucleotides) under uncultured bacterium. RNAcentral describes it as "bacterial SSU rRNA". It matches the Rfam family "Bacterial small subunit ribosomal RNA", at positions 356 to 1376 of the family's 1533-position model. The record is from RNAcentral.